UGGGAUGUGGCCAAGUUGGUAAGGCGCCUGUUUCUGGCACAGGAGAUCAUAGGUUCGAGUCCUAUCAUCCCAGCCA
This 76-nucleotide transfer RNA is filed under the name bacterium. RNAcentral's name for it is "tRNA-Gln". It matches the Rfam family "tRNA". From Rfam's summary of the family: Transfer RNA (tRNA) molecules are approximately 80 nucleotides in length. Their secondary structure includes four short double-helical elements and three loops (D, anti-codon, and T loops). Further hydrogen bonds mediate the characteristic L-shaped molecular structure. tRNAs have two regions of fundamental functional importance: the anti-codon, which is responsible for specific mRNA codon recognition, and the 3' end, to which the tRNAs corresponding amino acid is attached (by aminoacyl-tRNA synthetases). tRNAs cope with the degeneracy of the genetic code in two manners: having more than one tRNA (with a specific anti-codon) for a particular amino acid; and 'wobble' base-pairing, i.e. permitting non-standard base-pairing at the 3rd anti-codon position. The record is from RNAcentral. RNAcentral also lists the same sequence under 1 other name.